Molecule: ribosomal RNA, 420 nt
Filed under: uncultured bacterium
Lineage: Bacteria
Description: bacterial SSU rRNA
Rfam family: Bacterial small subunit ribosomal RNA
Source: RNAcentral
UGAGGGAAUAUUGGGACAAUGGAGGCAACUCUGAUCCAGCCAUGCCGCGUGAAGGACUAAGGCCCUAUGGGCUGUAAACUUCUUUAGACGCAGAGCAAUAAGGGCCACGUGCGGUCCGAUGAGAGUAUGCGUAGAAUAAGCAUCGGCUAACUCCGUGCCAGCAGCCGCGGUAAUACGGGGGGAUGCGAGCGUUAUCCGGAUUCAUUGGGUUUAAAGGGUGCGUAGGCGGCUUUGCAAGUCAGCGGUGAAAGGCCCGGGCUCAACCCGGAAAGUGCCGUUGAUACUGCUGGGCUUGAAUGCGGAUGCCGUGGGAGGAAUGUGUGGUGUAGCGGUGAAAUGCAUAGAUAUCACACAGAACACCGAUUGCGAAGGCAUCUCACGAAUCCGCAAUUGACGCUGAGGCACGAAAGUGUGGGGAUC